Molecule: small RNA, 263 nt
Filed under: Sorex araneus (European shrew)
Lineage: Eukaryota; Metazoa; Chordata; Mammalia; Eulipotyphla; Soricidae
Description: 7SK RNA (ENSSARG00000018686.1)
Source: RNAcentral
ACAUGUAAGGGUGUUCUGGCUAUAACAUCUAUCAACAUCUAUCACCAGUUAGCUGUGCUGACUGUCUAGGUGUCUGUCUCCUUUCUCCAUCACCAGUACCUGUGUAUCCCUCCUUAAGCAAUUUGCUUGAUCUAAAAGAAGACAACACUAGGGCUGGAGAGAUAGUACAGUGAAUAGGGUACUAGUGUUGCAAGAACUAACCCGUGUUUAAUCCUCAGAAUUCCAAAAGUUCUCCAAAGCUUGCCAGGAAUGAUCCCUUCGUA